Molecule: ribosomal RNA, 491 nt
Filed under: uncultured bacterium
Lineage: Bacteria
Description: partial 16S ribosomal RNA
Rfam family: Bacterial small subunit ribosomal RNA
Source: RNAcentral
AGUGAACGCUGGCGGUAGGCCUAACACAUGCAAGUCGAACGGCAGCACAGUAAGAGCUUGCUCUUACGGGUGGCGAGUGGCGGACGGGUGAGGAAUACAUCGGAAUCUACUUUUUCGUGGGGGAUAACGUAGGGAAACUUACGCUAAUACCGCAUACGACCUACGGGUGAAAGCAGGGGAUCUUCGGACCUUGCGCGAUUGAAUGAGCCGAUGUCGGAUUAGCUAGUUGGCGGGGUAAAGGCCCACCAAGGCGACGAUCCGUAGCUGGUCUGAGAGGAUGAUCAGCCACACUGGAACUGAGACACGGUCCAGACUCCUACGGGAGGCAGCAGUGGGAAAUAUUGGACAAUGGGCGCAAGCCUGAUCCAGCCAUACCGCGUGGUGAAGAAGGCCUUCGGGUUGUAAAGCCCUUUUGUUGGGAAAGAAAAGCAGCAGGUUAAUACCCCGCUGUUCUGACGGUACCCAAAGAAUAAGCACCGGCUAACUUCGUG